RNAcentral lists this ribosomal RNA (544 nucleotides) under uncultured bacterium. Its description in RNAcentral is "bacterial SSU rRNA". It matches the Rfam family "Bacterial small subunit ribosomal RNA", at positions 382 to 916 of the family's 1533-position model. The record is from RNAcentral.
CCUGACGCAGCGACGCCGCGUGGGUGAUGAAGGCCUUCGGGUUGUAAAACCCUGUUACCUACUAUGAACAAUAGGUGGUGAAUAACCAGCCAAGCUGACGUAAGUAGGAGAGGAAGCACCGGCUAAAUACGUGCCAGCAGCCGCGGUAAUACGUAUGGUGCGAACGUUAUUCGGAAUUACUGGGCAUAAAGGGCGCGUAGGCGGUUUGGUAAGUCUGUAUGUGAAAUCCCUCGGCUUAACCGAGGAACUGCAUCGGAUACUGCCAGACUAGAGUGCAGGAGGGGAGAGCGGAAUUCCUGGUGGAGCGGUGAAAUGCGUAGAUAUCAGGAGGAACGCCAGUGGCGAAAGCGGCUCUCUGGCCUGCAACUGACGCUGAGGCGCGAAAGCUAGGGGAGCGAACGGGAUUAGAUACCCCGGUAGUCCUAGCCCUAAACGAUGGGCACUAGGUAGAGGAGGUUUUAGAGCUUUCUCUGCUGUAGCUAAUGUAUUAAGUGCCCCGCCUGGGGAGUAUGGUCGCAAGGCUAAAACUCAAAUGAAUUGACGG